This 153-nucleotide microRNA precursor is filed under the name Capsicum annuum. The record is from RNAcentral. Lineage: Eukaryota; Viridiplantae; Streptophyta; Magnoliopsida; Solanales; Solanaceae.
AAGAGAAGAGCAUGUCAAGGUAGCCAAGGAGACAACCCUUAAACCAACCAAAAAGAUCACCAUUGUAUUAGUAAUGGAGUAAUCAAAAAACCUUUUAAGUAAUAGAACAGGCAAGUCAUCCUUGACUACUAAAUAAUAAUAUGACUCUUUUCU